This 1621-nucleotide ribosomal RNA is filed under the name Myxobolus arrabonensis. Its description in RNAcentral is "SSU rRNA". It matches the Rfam family "Eukaryotic small subunit ribosomal RNA", at positions 102 to 1490 of the family's 1831-position model. Lineage: Eukaryota; Metazoa; Cnidaria; Myxozoa; Bivalvulida; Myxobolidae. The record is from RNAcentral.
UAAAUCAGUGAUAAUCUAUUUGAUUUUCUCUCCCAUUGGAUAACCGUGGGAAAUCUAGAGCUAAUACGUGCGGUACAUUGGCGUACUUUCGGGUACGUCAAAGCAUUUAUUAGACUAAACCAACUAUUAUGCGUGAGCAUAGUAAGGGGAAUCUAGAUAACUUUGCUGAUCGUAUGGCCUAGUGCCGGCGACGUUUCAAUUGAGUUUCUGCCCUAUCAACUUGUUGGUAAGGUAUUGGCUUACCAAGGUUGCAACGGGUAACGGGGAAUCAGGGUUCGAUUCCGGAGAGGGAGCCUGAGAAACGGCUACCACAUCCAAGGAAGGCAACAGGCGCGCAAAUUACCCAAUCUAGACAGUAGGAGGUGGUGAAGAGAAUUACUAAAUGGUGGUCCAUAGGAUCACUUGUUUGGAAUGAACGUAACUUAAGAAAUUCGUUGAGAAACAACUGGAGGGCAAGUCCUGGUGCCAGCAGCCGCGGUAAUUCCAGCUCCAGUAGUUUGCUUUAAAGUUGUUGCGUUUAAAACGCUCGUAGUUGGAUCACGCAGCGGUAUUCAGUAAUCUAUUGUUAGGUGUCAUUGGUUGUUUCCGUCCCGUACGGCCAACUGGUGGCGCUUGCAUCAGAUGCCAUGCUGGAUGCCGCUAGUUGCACGUGAGAUAGAUUGUUGGCCUUUGGUGAGCCGAUAUUCUGGUCUUGCGGGGUGUGCCUUGAAUAAAACAGAGUGCUUAAAGCAGGUUAUUGCCUGAAUGUUAUAGCAUGGAACGAACAAUCGUGUAUGUGUGUGCGUCUUCAGACGGUUGUUAGCUUUUGGUUGACAGUUGUUUGGGAUGCACACGGCACCCACCAAAAUAUGGCUGUUGGUUCCAUAUACGGUGAUGAUUAACAGGAGCGGUUGGGGGCAUCAGUAUUUGUCCGCGAGAGGUGAAAUUCUUAGACCGGACAAGGACUAACAAAUGCAAAGGCACUUGUCUAGACCGUAUCCAUUAAUCAAGAACGAAAGUGGGAGGUUCGAAGACGAUCAGAUACCGUCAUAGUUCCCACCGUAAACUAUGCCGACCUGGGAUCAGUUUAGAGAUGUUACAAGCUCUAGAUUGGUCCCCCUGGGAAACCUAAAGUUUUUCGGUUACGGGGAGAGUAUGGUCGCAAGGCUGAAACUUAAAGGAAUUGACGGAAGGGCACCACCAGGGGUGGAGCCUGCGGCUUAAUUUGACUCAACACGGGGAAACUUACCUGGUCCGGACAUCGAUAGGAUUAACAGAUCAAUAGCUCUUUUAUGAUCCGAUGAGUGGUGGUGCAUGGCCGUUCUUAGUUCGUGGAGUGAUCUGUCAGCCUAAUUGCGGUAACGAACGAGACCACAGUCUCCAUUUAAGAGAUGGAAGAAGACGCGUGGAUGGGGAGACUCUGGUUUCCUAGUCUAUGUGUUGCAGGAAGAUCGGUGUGCUCUUUGGUGAGUGUAGUGGGGCAACUUGCUGCAUUUAUCAUGGAGUGUGCUGUUUCUCCCUUUUAUCGCGCAGCAGUUGGUUUCGACUGGCUGUUGUCUUAUGGAGAGACAACGAGGUAUAAACAAGCUCGAGGAAGAGUGGCUAUAACAGGUCAGUGAUGCCCUUCGAUGUUCAGGGCUGC